GUAGGGUGCGAGCGUUAAUCGGAAUUACUGGGCGUAAAGCGUGCGCAGGCGGUUUUGUAAGCCAGAUGUGAAAUCCCCGGGCUUAACCUGGGAAUGGCAUUUGGGACUGCAAGGCUUGAGUGCGGCAGAGGAGACUGGAAUUCCCGGUGUAGCAGUGAAAUGCGUAGAUAUCGGGAGGAAUACCGAUGGCGAAGGCAGGUCUCUGGGCUGACACUGACGCUCAUGCACGAAAGCGUGGGGAGCAAACAGGAUUAGAUACCCUGGUAGUCCACGCCCUAAACGAUGUCGACUGGUUGUUGGGGGUUUGACACUCUCAGUAACGAAGCUAACGCGUGAAGUCGACCGCCUGGGGAGUACGGCCGCAAGGUA
Molecule: ribosomal RNA, 369 nt
Filed under: uncultured bacterium
Lineage: Bacteria
Description: bacterial SSU rRNA
Rfam family: Bacterial small subunit ribosomal RNA
Source: RNAcentral